Molecule: unclassified non-coding RNA, 325 nt
Filed under: uncultured fungus
Lineage: Eukaryota; Fungi
Description: partial contains 5.8S ribosomal RNA and internal transcribed spacer 2
Rfam family: 5.8S ribosomal RNA (bases 1-133)
Source: RNAcentral
UGGUUCUGGCAUCGAUGAAGAACGCAGCGAAAUGCGAUAAGUAAUGUGAAUUGCAGAAUUCAGUGAAUCAUCGAAUCUUUGAACGCACAUUGCGCCCUCUGGUAUUCCGGAGGGCAUGCCUGUUCGAGCGUCAUUUCAACCCUCAAGCCUGGCUUGGUGAUGGGGCGCUGCCGUCCUCGCGGGCGGCAGGCCCUGAAAUCUAGUGGCGAUCCCCACGGGAAGCUUAGCGCAGUAGUUAUCCUCGCUAUGGUGACCCGUGGGGCCCUGCCGUUAAACCCCCAACCUCUGAAAAUUUGACCUCGGAUCAGGUAGGAAUACCCGCUGA